AUUGAACGCUGGCGGAAUGCUUUACACAUGCAAGUCGAGCGGCAGCGCGGCCUUCGGGCUGGCGGCGAGCGGCGAACGGGUGAGUAAUGCAUCGGAACAUGCCCAGUCGUGGGGGAUAACACUUCGAAAGAAGUGCUAAUACCGCAUACGUCCUGAGGGGGAAAGCGGGGGAUCGCAAGACCUCGCGCGAUUGGAGUGGCCGAUGUCAGAUUAGCUAGUGGGUGGGGUAAAGGCCUACCAAGGCGACGAUCUGUAGCUGGUCUGAGAGGGUGAUCAGCCACACUGGGACUGAGACACGGCCCAGACUCCUACGGGAGGCAGCAGUGGGGAAUAUUGGGCAAUGGGGGCAAGCCUGAUGGAGCCAUGCCGCGUGAGUGAAGAAGGCCUUCGGGUUGUAAAGCUCUGUCGGAAGGGACGAAACGGUGGGCUAGAACAUGGUCGGCUAAUGACGGUACCUGAAGAGGAAGCACCGGCUAACUACGUG
Molecule: ribosomal RNA, 484 nt
Filed under: uncultured bacterium
Lineage: Bacteria
Description: partial 16S ribosomal RNA
Rfam family: Bacterial small subunit ribosomal RNA
Source: RNAcentral